This 470-nucleotide ribosomal RNA is filed under the name uncultured Pelotomaculum sp. Its description in RNAcentral is "bacterial SSU rRNA". It matches the Rfam family "Bacterial small subunit ribosomal RNA", at positions 916 to 1381 of the family's 1533-position model. Lineage: Bacteria; Bacillati; Bacillota; Clostridia; Eubacteriales; Desulfotomaculaceae. The record is from RNAcentral.
GACGGGGCCCGCACAAGCGGUGGAGCAUGUGGUUUAAUUCGACGCAACGCGAAGAACCUUACCAGGGCUUGACAUCCCCUGACCGCGUAUGAAGACGUUUUCACCCUCGGGUGACAGGGAGACAGGUGGUGCAUGGUUGUCGUCAGCUCGUGUCGUGAGAUGUUGGGUUAAGUCCCGCAACGAGCGCAACCCCUACGUUUAGUUGCUAACGCGUGAAGGCGAGCACUCUAGACGAACUGCCGUUGACAAAACGGAGGAAGGCGGGGAUGACGUCAAGUCCUCAUGGCCCUUACAUCCCGGGCUACACACGUGCUACAAUGGCAGGUACAGAGGGCUGCGAAGCCGCGAGGUGGAGCGAAUCCCAGAAAACCUGUCUCAGUCCGGAUUGAAGUCUGCAACUCGACUUCAUGAAGGCGGAAUCGCUAGUAACCGCGAAUCAGCAGGUCGCGGUGAAUACGUUCCCGGGCCUU